UCAAACCCAACUCAGAGUGAUGAAGAAGAUGAAGAAGAUGAAGAAUGUGAAGCAGAAGGGAGAAUAAAAUUGAAAAGUCUAGCUGACAUCUAUGAAAGGUGCAGUUUUGCCUCAAAAGAACCUUCCUCUGUUGAGGAAGCACUUCAGCAGCAAGAGUGGAGACUUGCUAUAGAAGAGGAAAUCAGGAUGAUUGACAAAAAU
This 201-nucleotide long non-coding RNA is filed under the name Carica papaya (papaya). RNAcentral's name for it is "long non-coding RNA (CPAP_LNC001672)". The record is from RNAcentral. Lineage: Eukaryota; Viridiplantae; Streptophyta; Magnoliopsida; Brassicales; Caricaceae.